Molecule: long non-coding RNA, 216 nt
Filed under: Elaeis guineensis (African oil palm)
Lineage: Eukaryota; Viridiplantae; Streptophyta; Magnoliopsida; Arecales; Arecaceae
Description: long non-coding RNA (EGUI_LNC007204)
Source: RNAcentral
UGGGUUGAACUACAAACAAGACUCGAAAGGUUUUAGAUUAGAUGUUAAGCUCAUAUAUUUUUUGGGCCAAUCUCAAGUAUAUCAUUAGCUAGAUCUAGACCCAACCUUAGCCCAAGCACAGAUGAGAUCCCAAAUGGAGCUCAAACUCAAGUCCGGACUCAACCCAAACAGACUAGAAAUGGAAUCUGAACUUAAAAAAUUGUAGACUUGUAGUUG